GCCAUGAUCUAAUCUGACGCUGCAGCUCGCCAGCUGGAGUAUGUACAAAUAAAGCAGCCAAAGCCUUAUUUCCAACAGCAAAGCUUUUCGCAUCCUCAUUAAUCUCUCUCAGCUUUCCAGCUGUCACUUGCAGCCUCGGAGAAUCCUGAUCAAGACCCCGAAUUUUGGAUACAACUGAUGAAAAUCUGGACUUCUUUUCUGGCCGAAGAUUCACUUUAAAGCCUUGGAUCUG
Molecule: unclassified non-coding RNA, 232 nt
Filed under: Hevea brasiliensis (rubber tree)
Lineage: Eukaryota; Viridiplantae; Streptophyta; Magnoliopsida; Malpighiales; Euphorbiaceae
Source: RNAcentral